CCCUUAGAUGUUCUGGGCCGCACGCGCGCUACACUGAGUGGAUCAGCGGGUCAGGUUGCGCGAAAGCGUUUCCUAAUCUUGAAAUCCGCUCGUGAUGGGGAUUGACGGUUGCAAUUUUCUGUCAUGAACGAGGAAUACCUUGUAAGCGCGGGUCAUCAUCCCGCGCUGAAUACGUCCCUGCCCUUUGUACACACCGCCCGUCGCUCCUACCGAUUGAGUGGUCCGGUGAGGCUUUGGGAUCUGAGCGGAAAGAGCGUUUCGCUCGUUCUGCCCGGAAAACUCAGUCGAACCUUAUCAUUUAGAGGAAGGAGAAGUCGUAACA
This 322-nucleotide ribosomal RNA is filed under the name uncultured eukaryote. RNAcentral's name for it is "partial 18S ribosomal RNA". It matches the Rfam family "Eukaryotic small subunit ribosomal RNA", at positions 1470 to 1796 of the family's 1831-position model. The record is from RNAcentral.